RNAcentral lists this microRNA (22 nucleotides) under Nautilus pompilius. RNAcentral's name for it is "Npo-Mir-1984_5p (mature (guide))". Lineage: Eukaryota; Metazoa; Mollusca; Cephalopoda; Nautilida; Nautilidae. The record is from RNAcentral.
UGCCCUAUACCUCAGUCGCUGA